Molecule: small RNA, 252 nt
Filed under: Staphylococcus aureus
Lineage: Bacteria; Bacillati; Bacillota; Bacilli; Caryophanales; Staphylococcaceae
Description: Transcript
Source: RNAcentral
UUUAUUUGCACGACGUUCAUUUUCAAUAUCUACAAAGUUAGUACCACCUUUGCCACUAACAUCGACAUACUUGACGCCUAUUUGUUGUAAGUCAUGCAUUAAUUCUUUGCUCAUACCAAAUCCAACUUCUUUUAUAAUGACUGGAACAGACACUCGUGAUACAAUCGACGCUAUAUUAUCUAACCAAGUCACAAAUUCACGAUUCCCUUCAGGCAUAACUAAUUCUUGAGGAGAAUUAACAUGGAUUUGUAA